RNAcentral lists this transfer RNA (73 nucleotides) under Lachnospiraceae bacterium. RNAcentral's name for it is "tRNA-Arg". It matches the Rfam family "tRNA". From Rfam's summary of the family: Transfer RNA (tRNA) molecules are approximately 80 nucleotides in length. Their secondary structure includes four short double-helical elements and three loops (D, anti-codon, and T loops). The record is from RNAcentral. Lineage: Bacteria; Bacillati; Bacillota; Clostridia; Lachnospirales; Lachnospiraceae. RNAcentral also lists the same sequence under 1 other name.
GUCUCAUUCGUUCAAUAGGAGAGGACAGAGGACUUCUAAUCCUCCAAUACGGGUUCGAAUCCUGUAUGAGACA